This 254-nucleotide ribosomal RNA is filed under the name uncultured bacterium. RNAcentral describes it as "partial 16S ribosomal RNA". It matches the Rfam family "Bacterial small subunit ribosomal RNA", at positions 524 to 776 of the family's 1533-position model. The record is from RNAcentral.
UACGGGGGGAGCAAGCGUUGUUCGGACUUACUGGGCGUAAAGGGCGCGUAGGCGGCCACCGCAAGUCGACUGUGAAAUCUCCGGGCUUAACCCGGAAAGGUCAGCCGAUACUGCGGGGCUAGAGUGCAGAAGGGGCAACUGGAAUUCUCGGUGUAGCGGUGAAAUGCGUAGAUAUCGAGAGGAACACCUGCGGCGAAGGCGGGUUGCUGGGCUGACACUGACGCUGAUGCGCGAAAGCUAGGGGAGCGAACAGG